This 482-nucleotide ribosomal RNA is filed under the name uncultured bacterium. Its description in RNAcentral is "partial 16S ribosomal RNA". It matches the Rfam family "Bacterial small subunit ribosomal RNA", at positions 30 to 507 of the family's 1533-position model. The record is from RNAcentral.
AUUGAACGCUGGCGGCAUGCCUUACACAUGCAAGUCGAACGGUAACACGCUGCAAGGUGGUUCUGACUGGUGGACGGGGGCGGAAUGCAUCGGAAUGCGUCCAGAUGUGGGGGAUAAUUACUCAUAAGAGUAGGUAAUACCCCCUAAUACCUCUGGCUGAAAACGGGGGAACGUAAGGCCUCGUGCGAUUUGUCCCGCCGAUGUCAGAUUAGGUAGUUGGUGGGGUAAAGGCUCACCAAGGCAACGAUCUGUAGCUGGUCUGAGAGGACAACCAGCCACACUGGAACUGAGACACGGCCCAGACUCCUACGGGAGGCAGCAGUGGGGAAUUUUGGACAAUGGGCGCAAGCCUGAUCCAGCAAUGCCGCGUGCAGGAAGAAGGCCUUCGGGUUGUAAACUGCUUUUGUACGGAACGAAACGGCUCUGGUUAAUACCCGGGGCUAAUGACGGUACCGUAAGAAUAAGCACCGGCUAACUACGUG